RNAcentral lists this ribosomal RNA (831 nucleotides) under Loigolactobacillus coryniformis subsp. torquens DSM 20004 = KCTC 3535. Its description in RNAcentral is "bacterial SSU rRNA". It matches the Rfam family "Bacterial small subunit ribosomal RNA", at positions 108 to 923 of the family's 1533-position model. The record is from RNAcentral. Lineage: Bacteria; Bacillati; Bacillota; Bacilli; Lactobacillales; Lactobacillaceae.
GAGUAACACGUGGGUAACCUACCCUUAAGUGGGGGAUAACAUUUGGAAACAGAUGCUAAUACCGCAUAACCAUUCAGACCACAUGGUCUGAAUGUAAAAGACGGCCUUUGGCUGUCACUUUUGGACGGACCCGCGGCGUAUUAGUUAGUUGGUAAGGUAACGGCUUACCAAGACAAUGAUACGUAGCCGACCUGAGAGGGUAAUCGGCCACAUUGGGACUGAGACACGGCCCAAACUCCUACGGGAGGCAGCAGUAGGGAAUCUUCCACAAUGGACGAAAGUCUGAUGGAGCAACGCCGCGUGAGUGAAGAAGGUUUUAGGAUCGUAAAACUCUGUUGUUGGAGAAGAACAGGGACUAGAGUAACUGUUAGUCCUUUGACGGUAUCCAACCAGAAAGCCACGGCUAACUACGUGCCAGCAGCCGCGGUAAUACGUAGGUGGCAAGCGUUGUCCGGAUUUAUUGGGCGUAAAGCGAGCGCAGGCGGUUUUUUAAGUCUGAUGUGAAAGCCUUCGGCUUAACCGAAGAAGUGCAUUAGAAACUGGGAAACUUGAGUGCAGAAGAGGACAGUGGAACUCCAUGUGUAGCGGUGAAAUGCGUAGAUAUAUGGAAGAACACCAGUGGCGAAGGCGGCUGUCUGGUCUGUAACUGACGCUGAGGCUCGAAAGUAUGGGGAGCGAACAGGAUUAGAUACCCUGGUAGUCCAUACCGUAAACGAUGAAUGCUAAGUGUUGGAGGGUUUCCGCCCUUCAGUGCUGCAGCUAACGCAUUAAGCAUUCCGCCUGGGGAGUACGACCGCAAGGUUGAAACUCAAAGGAAUUGACGGGGGCCCG